CCUACGGGAGGCAGCAGUAGGGAAUUUUCGUCAAUGGGCGCAAGCCUGAACGAGCAAUGCCGCGUGAACGAGGAAGGUCUUCGGAUCGUAAAGUUCUGUUGAAGGGGAAAAAGAGCGGAGAGAGGAAAUGAACUCCGAUUGAUAUUACCCUUCGAGGAAGUCACGGCUAACUACGUGCCAGCAGCCGCGGUAAUAAGUAGGUGGCGAGCGUUAUCCGGAAUGAUUGGGCGUAAAGGGUGCGUAGGCGGCCUGCUAAGUCUGAUGUGAAAGGUACCGGCUCAACCGGUACAGGCUCUGGAAACUGGCGGGCUAGAGAGCAGGAGAGGGCGGUGAAACUCAAUGUGUAGCGGUAAAAUGCGUAGAUAUAUGGAAGAACACCAGUGGCGAAGGCGGCCGCCUGGCCUGUUGACUGACGCUGAGGCACGAAAGCGUGGGGAGCAAAUAGGAUUAGAUACCCCUGUAGUC
This 465-nucleotide ribosomal RNA is filed under the name uncultured bacterium. RNAcentral describes it as "partial 16S ribosomal RNA". It matches the Rfam family "Bacterial small subunit ribosomal RNA", at positions 338 to 795 of the family's 1533-position model. The record is from RNAcentral.